GAUGAACGCUGGCGGCGUGCCUAAUACAUGCAAGUCGAGCGAACGGACGAGAAGCUUGCUUCUCUGAUGUUAGCGGCGGACGGGUGAGUAACACGUGGAUAACCUACCUAUAAGACUGGGAUAACUUCGGGAAACCGGAGCUAAUACCGGAUAAUAUUUUGAACCGCAUGGUUCAAAAGUGAAAGACGGUCUUGCUGUCACUUAUAGAUGGAUCCGCGCUGCAUUAGCUAGUUGGUAAGGUAACGGCUUACCAAGGCAACGAUGCAUAGCCGACCUGAGAGGGUGAUCGGACACACUGGAAAUGAGACACGGUCCAGACUCCUACGGGAGACAGCAGUAGGGAAUCUUCCGCAAUGGGCGAAUGCCUUGCGGAGCAACGCCGCGUGAGUAAUGAAGGUCUUCGGAUCGUAAAACUCUGUUAUUAGGGAAGAACAUAUGUGUAAGUAACUGUGCACAUCUUGACGGUACCUAAUCAGAAAGCCACGGCUAACUACGUG
This 497-nucleotide ribosomal RNA is filed under the name uncultured bacterium. Its description in RNAcentral is "partial 16S ribosomal RNA". It matches the Rfam family "Bacterial small subunit ribosomal RNA", at positions 28 to 507 of the family's 1533-position model. The record is from RNAcentral.